Molecule: ribosomal RNA, 811 nt
Filed under: Suillus laricinus
Lineage: Eukaryota; Fungi; Basidiomycota; Agaricomycetes; Boletales; Suillaceae
Description: eukaryotic LSU rRNA
Rfam family: 5.8S ribosomal RNA (bases 246-400)
Source: RNAcentral
CAAGGUUUCCGUAGGUGAACCUGCGGAAGGAUCAUUAUCGAAUUAUAAUCCGGCGAGGGCAAAGAGGGGAGUUGUCGCUGGCCUUUCACCAGGCAUGUGCACGCUCUCCUCGGAACCUAAGCCUUAUGGGCGCGGGGCCACCCGCGUCUUCAUAUACCUCUUCGUGUAGAAAGUCUUUGAAUGUUUAUACUAUCAUCGAGUCGCGACUUCUAGGAGACGCGGUUCUUUGAGACAAAAGUUAUUACAACUUUCAGCAACGGAUCUCUUGGCUCUCGCAUCGAUGAAGAACGCAGCGAAUCGCGAUAUGUAAUGUGAAUUGCAGAUCUACAGUGAAUCAUCGAAUCUUUGAACGCACCUUGCGCUCCUCGGUGUUCCGAGGAGCAUGCCUGUUUGAGCGUCAGUAAAUUCUCAACCCCUCUCGAUUCGCUUCGAUAGGGUGCUUGGAUAGUGGGGGCUGCCGGAGACCUGGACGAAAGUCUAGGACUCGGGCUCUCCUGAAAUGAAUCGGCUUGCGGUCGACUUUCGACUUUGCAUGACAAGGCUUUUGGCGUGAUAAUGAUCGCCGUUCGCUGAAGUGCAUGAAUGAAUGGUCCCGUGCCUCUAAUGCGUCGAUGCCUUCUGGCGUCUUCCUUAUUGACUUUUGACCUCAAAUCAGGUAGGACUACCCGCUGAACUUAAGCAUAUCAAUAAGCGGAGGAAAAGAAACUAACAAGGAUUCCCCUAGUAACUGCGAGUGAACCGGGAAAAGCUCAAAUUUUGAAUCUGGCGGUCUUUCAGGCCGUCCGAGUUGUAAUCUAGAGAAGCGUCUUCC